This 254-nucleotide ribosomal RNA is filed under the name uncultured bacterium. RNAcentral's name for it is "partial 16S ribosomal RNA". It matches the Rfam family "Bacterial small subunit ribosomal RNA", at positions 524 to 776 of the family's 1533-position model. The record is from RNAcentral.
CACGUAGGCACCAAGCGUUAUCCGGAUUUAUUGGGCGUAAAGAGCUCGUAGGCGGUUCGGUAAGUCGGGUGUGAAAACUCUGGGCUCAACCCAGAGAGGCCACCCGAUACUGCUGUGACUAGAGUGCGGUAGGGGAGCGGGGAAUUCCUGGUGUAGCGGUGAAAUGCGCAGAUAUCAGGAGGAACACCGGUGGCGAAGGCGGGUCUCUGGGCAGUAACUGACGCUGAGAAGCGAAAGCGUGGGGAGCGAACAGG